CCGCGAGCCGCGAGAUCACAGCUUCUUUUUUCUCCUUCGAACUAAAUAAGUGACAGCUUGGCGUCUACCUUGACACGUAAGAACUAGAGUACAAGGCCAGAACAGGAAGACAUCCGGACGACAAAGUGCUGCUACAAGCCCUUCGAAGUGCCGUCGCAGCUCGGGCUGCCCAGUUGUGCCCGCAGACUCUACCGAUUGACUGGUCAGCUGCCGGGUCCGCUCGAAGACCUUGCCGAAGGGAACUGGAAGAACGCGACGGCUUCUGGAAAUCUUAGAUGCACCAGACUGCGAGCCUAAAACAAGAAUGGACCCAGGGCUGAAGAAAGAGGGUUGGGAACGCGACGACGGGGUUGGUACCCCGGACAGUCCUUCUGCCAGAAGUCUCAAAGGCCCCUCCGACCGCUGCUCAACGGAGUCGACCCGGAGGCACACGUCCACGCUCGAAGAGAGCUCGAUGGGUCAGUCUCAAAGUUACGGCGCAAGAAAGAAGGCAGCUGUCUGCCAAAAGCCGCCACCCUCAUCGUCCGGGAAAACCCACACAAUAGACAAGGCCAUCAAGAGUGGUGCCGUCAUACCGGCAUGGUGGAACGGCCGCCAUGACGUACGCAGGCCUGGGGUUCAACUUGGCCAGGCAGGCACUGCGUUCAGUGGCCCUGCGUGGACGCGCGCUGGACGCAGCAGGCCGCAACACCUCGUGGUGGCAGCUGGGCAAGCCGGGAGAAAGCCCCUUCAGGUUGGACGUCGCCGGGUCUGUCGCCGA
Molecule: long non-coding RNA, 760 nt
Organism: Dermacentor albipictus
Lineage: Eukaryota; Metazoa; Arthropoda; Arachnida; Ixodida; Ixodidae
Source: RefSeq, a predicted model, not a curated record